This 8758-nucleotide long non-coding RNA is filed under the name Malus domestica (apple). RNAcentral describes it as "long non-coding RNA (MDOM_LNC004143)". Lineage: Eukaryota; Viridiplantae; Streptophyta; Magnoliopsida; Rosales; Rosaceae. The record is from RNAcentral.
CAUAGGCGGAGUUACAGAGCUUCUACUCUCUCUCUAAAAUAUUUCAUCUUUCUCUCUCUAAAAUGCCCCAUUAAAGUUUUUCACAGUUUGUGCAGGACGACAGAGAAAGAGGUUCAUUUAAUGGCCACGGGAAAGACAGAACACAGGAGGCCUCUUUCAAAUCACAACUCGCUCGGAUAUUUAAAUCAACUAUAUCUGCUCCACAGAUGAAGCUUCUAUUUCAUCCAACGGCUGGAAUUAAUCGUGAAAUGGGGAAGUUUGAAAGAAUAUAAUUUUUGGAGGCUCAAAAUAAUUGAUGCCCUUGUUUCUUUUUUACCUACGAAAAAAAUGAAAACUCUUUGUUUCUUGGUACUAUUGCUAUAUUUCUAUAAAUAGUAUUUAUUUUGUUCAAUUCCAGAAAUACUGUGAGUUAUUUUGCUAUCUUUCUAUAAAUAGUGUUUAUUUUGUGCGGAGGAAAGUGGCAUUUGGUUGGUGGAAGGUUAAUUAUGUUGGUGCAUGGAGAGAAGAGACGGCGAUUGGUGGUACGGGUUGGGUGAUUAGAAACAGCAAUGGUUAGUUCCAAUUGGGAGGAGGCCCUGGUGGAGUGAGGGCAGCCUCCAGUUUAAUAAAUAGUGUAGUACCCGUGUCAGUUUCAUAAAUAGUGAGUUUAAUAAAUAGUGUAGUACAUGUAUCAGUUUCAUAAAUAGUCAGUCAAUUUAAUAAAUAGUGUAGUACCUGUGUCAGUUUAAUAAAUAGUGUAGUACAUGUGUCAGUUUCAUAAAUAAUCAGUCAGUUUAAUAAAUAGUGUAGUACCCGUGUCAGUUUCAUAAAUAGUGAGUUUAAUAAAUAGUGUAGUACAUGUGUUAGUUUCAUAAAUAGUUAGUCAGUUUAAUAAAUAGUGUAAUAACUGUAUCAGUUUCAUAAAAUAGUCAGUGAGUUUAAUAAAUAGUGCAGUACCCGUGUCAGUUUCAUAAAUAGUGAGUUUAAUAAAUAGUGUAGUACAUGUGUCAGUUUCAUAAAUAGUCAGUCAGUUUAAUAAAUAGUGUAGUACCUGUGUCAGUUUAAUAAAUAGUGUAGUACAUGUGUCAGUUUCAUAAAUAGUCAGUCAGUUUAAUAAAUAGUGUAGUACCCGUGUCAGUUUCAUAAAUAGUGAGUUUAAUAAAUAAUGUAGUACAUGUGUUAGUUUCAUAAAUAGUUAGUCAGUUUAAUAAAUAGUGUAAUAUCUGUAUCAGUUUCAUAAAAUAGUCAGUGAGUUUAAUAAAUAGCGUAGUACCCCUGUUAGUUUCAUAAAUAGUCAGUUUAAGAAAUAGUUAGUAUUAAGUUUCAUAAAUAGUCAGUCAAUUUAAUAAAUAGUGUAGUACAUGUGUCAGUUUUAUAAAUAGUCAGUCAGUUUAAUAAAUAGUGUAGUACCCGUGUCAGUUUUAUAAAUAAUGAGUUUAAUAAAUAGUGUAGUACAUGUGUCAAUGUCAAUUUUAUAAAUAGUCAGUCGGUUUAAUAAAUAGUGUAGUACCCGUGUCAGUUUCAUAAAUAGUGAGUUUAAUAAAUAAUGUAGUACAUGUGUUAGUUUCAUAAAUAGUUAGUCAGUUUAAUAAAUAGUGUAAUAUCUGUAUCAGUUUCAUAAAAUAGUCAGUGAGUUUAAUAAAUAGCGUAGUACCCCUGUUAGUUUCAUAAAUAGUCAGUUUAAGAAAUAGUUAGUAUUAAGUUUCAUAAAUAGUCAGUCAAUUUAAUAAAUAGUGUAGUACAUGUGUCAGUUUUAUAAAUAGUCAGUCAGUUUAAUAAAUAGUGUAGUACCCGUGUCAGUUUUAUAAAUAAUGAGUUUAAUAAAUAGUGUAGUACAUGUGUCAAUGUCAAUUUUAUAAAUAGUCAGUCGGUUUAAUAAAUAGUGUAGUACCCGUGUCAGUUUCAUAAAUAGUGAGUUUCAUAAAUAGUGUAGUAUCCGUGUUAGUUUCAUAAAUAGUCAAUUUAAGAAAUAGUCAGUGCUCAGUUUAACAAAUUGUGAUAGUACCCGUUUUUAGUUUUCAAAAAUAGUCAGUAUUCAGUUUAAGAAAUAGUUUAGUAUAUGCGUUCAAUUUCAGAAAUAGUCUGUUUAAGAAAUAGUGUAGUAUCCAUAUUUAGUUUCAGAAAUAGUACCCGUGUCCAGUUUCAUACAUAACAAUUUAAAAAAAUAGUAAAUGAAGACAUAAAAUUUCAAUUUUUUAACUUUUUAUAGUGAAUGAAAUUAAAAAUAUAGGUGAAAAAAAUAAGACAAUCGGUAUAAAUAGCCUUGGUCAAGAUUGUAGCACAAGUAGUACCUGCAUGAACAAUUAAAAUUUGUAAUUACCAAGCCAGACAAAACAUUGAGCAAGAUCAAUCCAUUACGUAAUAUUUAAUUCAACUAAAAGAAAGAAAGAAAAAAAUAAACUUGUUAGUAAACUGCAGAGCUAUAAAAUAAUAGUAUUAUACCUCACAUGUUCGAUCUGAUCCUCUGCUCUAAAUUAAAAUUAAGGAAACAAAACACAGAUUUAUACAUGCAUAGAAAACUAGAUAGUACUUGAUGAAAUAGGAUUUGGCACCUUGCCACUGUCUCUCACUCCCUCUCUCAUCUAACAAAAGAACAACGAAAUUUAUUUUUUUAUUUUUUUUGCAUUAAUUUGUGGUUUUUAUUUUCAACAGUGACGUUUUGGAAGAUAAUUUCAAAGGGUUGCGAGGGAUUUUAAAGGGUUUGUAAAAGGCAGUGUCAAAAGGCUUGGGAGUUGAAGAAUGCUACAUGGAGAAAUCUUUUAUUUCCCAUCUUAAUUAAUCUCAAUUUUCUCAUCAAUCAAACAAAAGAUAGAAAAUCAAGUCGCAUAUCUAUCUACCCAAAAGUAUCCUGGAAAUUGAUAGGGUUGGGAGGGAUGUCCUUGCAGCCGGAAGACGCAGGUAAGCGUCCGAACGCCCAGAAGCCGCCCUUUGCAAUUCUUGCACCUUAGGAACGGCGGCCAUGAUCCAACUCCGACAGGUUUUUUCGGCGGAAGGUAGAUUCGGUAAGGGCGUGUCAUCUAGGUCAUACAACGACAUCUCCGCUUCUUUCUGAAGCGCGAUCUGCAUCUGUUCAUCACAUGCAUCAGGUUUCCACUGCCAUUUUUCAGAGUUGGUGGUUAUUGAUGUGUGUGUUGGAAUUGGAGAGGGAAGACAGAGAGGAGUUGAAUCUUAAUUUAGUUGGAAGAGAAAAUUACCUGGUCAGCUGGAUACCCAAAGAAUCAAGUAAAAUGAGAGCUCGUUGAUUUGACGAAGCAGAAGAUCUAUAGACAUCAUAGAGAAAAUUACCGACAUCAUGGAGAAAUAAAUUUGAGAUCUAUAUACCUUUCCUCUCUCGCGAAACGGACCAAAUAAACGGGAAAGCCAUGACGUUAAGGGCAAAAUUGGAAGUUCGAUAAAUUACAUUUUUUGAGCUAAUUUUAUUGGGCUGAUAUAAAAAUGGGCUUUGUACUAACCAUUAAAUAAACUUUCAAUGUGGUUUUUGGUUAAAAAUUAAACUUUUCAAGCCCUUUUGGUUAGUUUUCCCAUAAAUAAAUCAUCAAUUUUUAUAUUCUUUAAUUUUAAAAACUUUGUUUCCAAAUUUAAUCUCAUUAGUAUUAGCCAUUUGGAAGUGUUCACAGAAAUGUGAAAUUUUUUUGACAAAUAAAAAGCGUUUUUGAUUAAGCAAUCAUAAAUAAAAAAAUAACAAUAAUUAAGAGUAAUAAGACGCUAACUUGAUAAUGAGAUUACCAAAGACUUUUAAAUUUGGCAUUUUGCUUCUAGCAUGAUGUGAUGUCACGUUCAUGGGUUUUGUUUAUUUUCUUUAAAACUAUAAUUGCAUAUAUUGGUAGGCGCCUUUUUGGGUUGUAUUUUGAGAACUUUAACGAAAAAAUUUCUGGUACUGUUCACUUUAACGAAAAAUCACAUUUUACACUAAAAAGUCAAUUAUGGUACUAUUCAAUUUACCAUUUUAUUUAUUCUUAUUGUUAAAACUCAAAGUUUUCAAACUCUUUUUAUUAGUUUUCCUUUGUAUUUUAUGCUGUAUAACUAGUAAAUUAAUUAUAUUUAUUUUUCUAUUGUAUCAUGAUAUAUAGAAUUAGUUAUGACUUGCAAGCUUACCGAAAAAACAUUUAGUGCACACCAAACUUUUGAUACCGAUUGACAUCAUUCUAUUAUAAUAUGGAAAAAUGAGUAAAGGGUAACUAUAAGCUCAAAUAGCUUGUUUUCGGUUGUGGAAUAACAAAUAGUUUAUAAAGAAGCGACUUAUUUAUUUCUGAUUGUUUGAUUGAAUAGACUCGUUGUUCUAAAAAAAAUCACUUAAUACCAUUUAGGCGUUAGGUGACUAGUUACCGUUCAGAUUAAAAUUUGGAUGAACACUUAAUUUCACAGCCCAUCCCGAAAUUUCAUUUAUCAUGGAUGUGAAAUGACAGAAUUGUCCUUAACAGUUGCUAAGGUACGUGUAACAUGUUAUUUGAAUAUUGCAUACUCUCCUAAAUUCUUGGAAAAUUUUAAGUGGAUUAAAAUUGUAUGCAACUGUGUGGCUAGGGACUUAGGAGGACACACACACACACAAAGCAAACCUCACACUCUCUCUCCUAUUCUGUAUCUCUCUCUUCCCUCUCAGUUUCUCUCUCUCUCCCUUCGAAUUGUACAGACACACUCACCCGCAAACAUCCAGGCAUGGAUCGAAGGUUUCGAGGGCAUCAUUGUGUUCGUGAGGACCCUACGAACACAUCCAUACCUAUUUCAGGUAAGAAACCUUUCGAUUUCACGUUGAAAACUCGAGGUCCGAAUUGAGCACUGUUCACGAACUUUGUAAUGGUUGGUUUUUAGGACAAUCCAAGCUCACAAUGAGCUUAAGGAGGUUCCCACGAAGCUCGGGGACGUUCGUUUGGAGGUUUUGGACGUCGGGAUCGCAGGGUUCGAAGUUGGCCAGUUUUCUUGGAUUUUCUCCGGUGAGAUUUCGUGUGUUUUUUAGCCUUAAAUUAGUUCAUCAUGAUUCUACAUGCUUAGGGCUUCAUUUUGGUAUAAAUUUCGUAAAAAAUGGUUGAGAAUUGACGAAGAAUAAGGAGUUUGAAAAUAACCUAGAAACCGACGACUUUUUCGUCGCUGGCGAAACCAAUCCGACGACUGGAGGUAGGGGGUGACGCACGUGGGGGCGCGUGCGGCAUUGAAAAAAAUUUCUAAAAAUUUGGUGAUGAUUCUAAGGUUGUGUAGAUCACUGUGGUAUAUUCAUUUACCCAAAUUGAGCAUCGUAUGAGAAGUUAUGUCGUAUUGUUGGUUAUGUGCUUUAAAAUGAUGUUUUUAUAGUUGUUUCGCAUAUAGGUGAGACCUAUCCUGAGGACGAGCGUGUUCAAGGGCGUCACGGGGGUUACGACCAUUCGACAUACCAGUGAGUGGGCAGUUAUUUUCUGUUAUACCUAUAUACUAUUGAUUUUUCCUAGAAAUUGAAUUUAAAUGGAAGUACGUUUUAAAAUGCCAUGCAUACAUAAUAUAUGAAUUAUAUGAACUAGUAUUUGAUGCAUAUAUGUGAAAUGGUGCUGUGGAUUGAUCAGAUCAUAUUUAUAUAUAUUUUUACUUCGAAUUCACUCGUCUUUUCUUAGUUAGUUCCUUAUAUUUUUGACCUAUUUACGUUAUUUUUGUGUUUAUAGGAUUUGUUAUGCAAAGAAAAUAAAAAUAGAACAAGUGAAAUUUUAUGUAAUAAAUUCGUCAAAACUGCAUGUGUAGAUCAGCUGACUUUGGGAGCAAGUUGCGAACAGCUCAGAAUGAAUUAGAAAAUGAGCCUUAUAUGCUUGGAAAGCUACAGAUGUCUAUUUUCUAGAACACUUCAUGGAUUGUUAAUAUUAUUUUUCUAGAAGAAGUUAUGGGCAUUUGAGUAAGGGAAGGUCUAGCUGACGACAACUUGCAGAUUGGAAUUGAAAAACAGACAAAGAUGACAAAGAAGAGCAUAAAGCAUAAAAUCAUGAUGAAUAAUCAUGAUGAAUGAUUAAGGCUGCCCUUUGGUUUUGUCUGAAAGGCAACAAAUACAGCAAAGCACAGGUUGGCAAUAGAAGAAAAGUCAAAUAAAGAAAUAAAUAAAAACAGCAAGUAGAGGAGGGCUCAAGCGAAAAAGGCAGGACAGAAGGCAGAGAGAUGGAUAGAUAGAACAGACAGAAAAUUUAGUGAGAGAGAUGGACGAGGAGCAGAAACGAGAGAAGAAUCAGCAAGCUGCCUUGCGCAGCGUGAGCCUCGGAGAGGAGAGAUAGGCAGAGAGAGAUUGACAGAGGCUGACGGAAGCACGGCAGCAGUAGCACAGAAGCAGAGGCUUCACUCAAUCUUUCGGUUAAAUCUUUCCGAAUUUAUAUUUUAUUUCUGUUUUAAUAAUGUGUAACUAAAUUUAUUUUGGCUAGAGGUUAAUUCAAAGCCAUGAAUAUAAUUGUAAUAUGAAUUGAUUACCUUCAGUUGUGAUUUCUGAGUUGUGAUUUAAUUUGCUUAACUGCUUGAUUGAUAACUUAUUUUUGUAUGUCGAUUAAGAAUGCAUACUUAAUUUACAUGCAUGAAUUUGACGCUAGAAUAUAAGGGAGUUUCACCUAAUCGUUAUGAACUUAUAUUCACAAGUAGUGAAGGUUGCUAGUCACAAUCACGUUAAGUAAAUUCUUGGCAUAAGUUUCAUGCAAAUCAUAGUAACGAGUGCCUCGUCAAUGCUUAUGUUUUUCAUAGAACUUAAUGAUUCUUGCUUGUAUCUCUAUUAUGCAAUUCAUGUAGGGAACUUGUAGGGAAUGUUUUGGGUUGUCAUAUGCAAUCAUCCAACCUAAUAACUUGUGGAAAAACUGAGGGUUAAUUAGUGCAAUUCACGGUUAAUUUGGGGCGUUGAGAUUUACAAUUUAUUGAAAGAACAACUGAAAAUCAAUUUAGGUUGCAUAUGUGUCAUGUGUGGAGAAGAACCCUCUAGCUAGUCCGUCACCUGUCCUUUCACCUUAAUUUCAUGCUUCUGUCAAUUCUGUAAUUUAUUUAAGUUUAAUUUACUUCUCGUCAAAACCAAACCCUCCCCAUUAUUAAAUUAUAUUAUUUAGUUAGUUUUCAUUGUUGUUAGUCUUUUAAUUCAAUUUCCGUCCACUUCAGUUCCUAGUGUCUAAUUUGAUUGUUUUCAUUAUUUUUAGUCAUUCUAAGUGUGUUUCGAGGUAUUAGAGCUUUUAGCCUAGUUUUGUGUCCUUGAGUCUUGUUUAAUAUUUUUAAAUUAAUUUAGAAUAGAUUAGCAAUCCCUCCUAAUCCCCGGCCUAGAACGAUACCCUACUUACAUCUAUACUACAAUUGUCAAAAAGAGGGUUAAAUUUUGUGUGCUUAUAUUAUUCGCAUCAUGGAUGCACAGGUAAGUAUCAGGUGAGUUUUAUGUGUUCAUGUGAAUUAUUAAUGAUAUGAAUUGUGUUGAGAGCUCAUAACUUGCACCCCUGGUGUUAGUGCUUAUAUUAUUCACCCCGCACCACACGCUCACCUUGGAUCCAAGUAGGUGCAUGUCGAACAGACCAUUAGAGGUGGUUCCGACAUGUCGAACAGACCAUUAGAGGUGGUUCCGACUUGUAGGUGACUUUAGAUUAUUAUACAGUUGUUGAUGAGAGAAGCACUAGAGCGUAUUCUUACACCAUUCUUAUCGUACAGGCUACUUCAGGUAGUUCCGAUUUAUGUGCAGAGUAGUGCCGUACAGGUCACAGUGGUGACUCCGGUUGGGUUGGAUAUUGAGUUAUAGAAUUAACCGUACAGGACAGCUGCAGGGUCUCCGGUUGAUUCAUUAUUUCACCUGUUAUAUUGAUGCAUCCUUAUUAUGUUCGAAGCAUAACAUGGCAUAUUUCUUGAAAAGUGUUAAAAACUUGUGUUUUGAGUUAAUUGCUGUUAUAUAUGGUUAUAUAUACUAUUUUUCUGGGAAAGUAUAUAGGUUUUACAGCGAGGGGUUAGAAGUGUUAUUAAUUGAAAUAUUUUCGAAAAGCUUUAUUUUACUGACCCACUCAAUCUUGUUUUGCGCCUCUUCAGGUUCUAGUUAGCGGUGUUGGUGACCCACGAGGAUUUCCCACGACGUUCUGACAUACUACUUAAAUGUAGGCCUCACCUUCGGGUGUUGUAAUUUAGUAAUGGUUCUACUUGACUGCACUUAGUACUUAUGCUCUGAAUACGUGUGUUUCACACUUAAACUCACUCUAGCAUGUUAGUUGGAUAUUACUGCUAGUAGUUGGUUUUUAUUCCUUCGUAAUUCUUUUAUCUUUUGCUUCCGCAUCGCACUUUUGGUUACGUCACGCCCACAUGACGGUCAGCACGCCUUGAUUCUAGGAUCGGGGUGUGUCACUUAAUGCAUGUUUGUUCCACAUGUUUUUAAUAUAUUCUAAUACUUUGUAUUCUAUGUCAUUUUGUUUUAUAAUUUAUGUAACACAAUAAAUUAUGUUUUUUUAAGUAUAAGUAAACAAUUAUUUUUAUUUUAUAUAACAAAAUUAAUUAAAAAGGGUAUGGGUGCCCACCUAGGCCCUACCUAAUCGUUAGACCAUUAUCCACAGCUCGACUAGCACUUAGCACCUUCUAAAACCUUGAAUAAACUUAAAUGGUUUGGUGUCGAUUGUGGGAUAAUAAAUAGUUUAGAUUAGAGGUCCUCAACCUCAUUACUCAAUACUAAAUAAUGGAUAAGCAGAAAUUUAGGAUUAAAUGAGUUUUCCUUUUAAAAUGGCAUCUUUUGAUCCUUUUUUCCUUUAUUGUUAGAAUUUCAAUUCAACGACUUAAAAGGGAAAUAAUAGUAGCCAAUAAAAAAGAAAAACAGCUUAACCUAACGUCAAAUAUUGCAUAU